CCUUGACCAAAAUACUGAUAAUACAAAAGAUAACAAAGAUCCAAAGAAUAGCACUCCAGAUUACCUUCAAGAAUGCUUUGACAGACAUUUUAUUAAAAUGGAAAUGGAAUCAAGUACCGAGAGAGGUUGGAAAAUCAGACAGCGGGCCAAAAAUAAAUAAAUUCAGCAUUAGAAUGAAAAAUCAAAACUUUUGAAUAAAAAGUACAAGACUUGGAGGACAGAUCAAGAAGAUCUAAUCUUAGAAUAAGAGGUAUCCCAGAAUUGAUAUUGAAC
Molecule: non-coding RNA, 273 nt
Organism: Pelobates cultripes (western spadefoot toad)
Lineage: Eukaryota; Metazoa; Chordata; Amphibia; Anura; Pelobatidae
Source: the annotation of a GenBank genome assembly